Non-coding RNA from Astyanax mexicanus (Mexican tetra), 83 nucleotides. NCBI's taxonomy places the organism in Eukaryota, Metazoa, Chordata, Actinopteri, Characiformes, Acestrorhamphidae. The record is from the annotation of a RefSeq genome assembly.
ACCAGGAUGGCCGAGUGGUUAAGGCGUUGGACUUAAGCUCCAAUGGAUGGAAAUCCACGUGGGUUCGAGCCCUACUCCUAGUA